Molecule: long non-coding RNA, 151 nt
Organism: Thalassophryne amazonica
Lineage: Eukaryota; Metazoa; Chordata; Actinopteri; Batrachoidiformes; Batrachoididae
Exons: 3
Source: RefSeq, a predicted model, not a curated record
CCAUACCAUAAUAAGAAAAUAAAACCAGAAACAAAAGCAAAAUACAAUGGAAAAAACAAUAACUGGACAGAGACUACAACUGAAUAAACCACGUGACUAAAGUAAGAAAAACAGAAAAAACAAAAUACACAGGAAACAAAGCCAGAGACUA